RNAcentral lists this ribosomal RNA (816 nucleotides) under uncultured Staphylococcus sp. Its description in RNAcentral is "bacterial SSU rRNA". It matches the Rfam family "Bacterial small subunit ribosomal RNA", at positions 69 to 867 of the family's 1533-position model. Lineage: Bacteria; Bacillati; Bacillota; Bacilli; Caryophanales; Staphylococcaceae. The record is from RNAcentral.
ACGGACGAGAAGCUUGCUUCUCUGAUGUUAGCGGCGGACGGGUGAGUAACACGUGGAUAACCUACCUAUAAGACUGGGAUAACUUCGGGAAACCGGAGCUAAUACCGGAUAAUAUUUUGAACCGCAUGAUUCAAAAGUGAAAGACGGUCUUGCUGUCACUUAUAGAUGGAUCCGCGCUGCAUUAGCUAGUUGGUAAGGUAACGGCUUACCAAGGCAACGAUGCAUAGCCGACCUGAGAGGGUGAUCGGCCACACUGGAACUGAGACACGGUCCAGACUCCUACGGGAGGCAGCAGUAGGGAAUCUUCCGCAAUGGGCGAAAGCCUGACGGAGCAACGCCGCGUGAGUGAUGAAGGUCUUCGGAUCGUAAAACUCUGUUAUUAGGGAAGAACAUAUGUGUAAGUAACUGUGCACAUCUUGACGGUACCUAAUCAGAAAGCCACGGCUAACUACGUGCCAGCAGCCGCGGUAAUACGUAGGUGGCAAGCGUUAUCCGGAAUUAUUGGGCGUAAAGCGCGCGUAGGCGGUUUUUUAAGUCUGAUGUGAAAGCCCACGGCUCAACCGUGGAGGGUCAUUGGAAACUGGAAAACUUGAGUGCAGAAGAGGAAAGUGGAAUUCCAUGUGUAGCGGUGAAAUGCGCAGAGAUAUGGAGGAACACCAGUGGCGAAGGCGGCUUUCUGGUCUGUAACUGACGCUGAUGUGCGAAAGCGUGGGGAUCAAACAGGAUUAGAUACCCUGGUAGUCCACGCCGUAAACGAUGAGUGCUAAGUGUUAGGGGGUUUCCGCCCCUUAGUGCUGCAGCUAACGCAUUAAGCAC